AGUGAACGCUGGCGGCAGGCCUAACACAUGCAAGUCGAACGGCAGCACAAGAGAGCUUGCUCUCUGGGUGGCGAGUGGCGGACGGGUGAGGAAUGCAUCGGAAUCUGCCCAUUUGUGGGGGAUAACCUCGGGAAACCGGGACUAAUACCGCAUACGACCUACGGGUGAAAGCAGGGGAUCUUCGGACCUUGCGCAGAUGGAUGAGCCGAUGCCGGAUUAGCUAGUUGGAGGGGUAAAGGCCCACCAAGGCGACGAUCCGUAGCUGGUCUGAGAGGGUGAUCAGCCACACUGGAACUGAGACACGGCCCAGACUCCGACGGGAGGCAGCAGUGGGGAAUAUUGGACAAUGGGCGCAAGCCUGGUCCAGCCAUGCCGCGUGUGUGAGGAAGGCCUUCGGGUUGUAAAGCACUUUUGUUGGGAAAGAAAAGCAGCCGGUUAAUACCCGGUUGUCAUGACGGUACCCAAAGAAUAAGCACCGGCUAACUUCGUG
Molecule: ribosomal RNA, 490 nt
Filed under: uncultured bacterium
Lineage: Bacteria
Description: partial 16S ribosomal RNA
Rfam family: Bacterial small subunit ribosomal RNA
Source: RNAcentral